Molecule: unclassified non-coding RNA, 216 nt
Filed under: uncultured fungus
Lineage: Eukaryota; Fungi
Description: sequence contains ITS1
Source: RNAcentral
GUAUUAAAUUUUCGACCAAUAAAGGUCUUAACAAUUAAACAUUCUAAUAAACUUUGUGUGUGUGUAAAAAAAAAUAACAUAGACACAGAUUUGUGAAAAUCUGGCCUACAAUAAGUUCACAGGUGAGAUGAAAAGGCAGAGUGCACAUUGCCCCGAAAGGCCAGCAACAUCCUAAGGAUUUCAAUAAUGAUCCUUCCGCAGGUUCACCUACGGAAA